AUGAUGAUCCAACUCAACACUGGAACUCUUCCAAGUCAAGGGAAGCUUUUGGUUUUACUCAUUUAUUGCCACCGGGGCUCGCCUGUUGACAGUAAGUUGACUAACUGUUCAAGACCUCUCCUCUUCACUUCACUCUGUAAGUACACUUGACAAUAUCUUGAAAUAUAGUUUUAGUUUUGAUGUUUUUAGCCAAACAUCACAUGACUUCCUGUAUCUUUGUACUUGUUGGUUUAUUUUUAACUGUGUUUUGGUUGUUACAUCAGGGCCUGUAUUCAUAAAGUGUCUCAGAAGGUCCAUAUAAUUAUGAUCUAAAAGGCUAAACUGAUCCCAGAUCAGCUCUCCUACUCUGAUACACUUUGUGAAUACUGACCCUGGACUGUGGUUUCAUGUGUUUAGUUCAGUUUAUUCAUUUACAUGUUUAAAACAUGAUCAGUAGAGUUUACCAGUAAUACCCAGAUCUCCAUUCAAUAGGGUCAUGUUCACUGUCAUAGUAUAACAUGGUCAAGUAUAACUGUGUGUGUGAUAUGUCUGUGUGUGUGUGUGAUAUGUCUGUGUGUGUGUGUGAUAUGUCUGUGUGUGUGUGUGAUAUGUCUGUGUGUGUGUGUGAUAUGUCUGUGUGUGUAUGUGUGUAAAUACAUUUUUACAUAUUAAUCUGAUUGUUGGAUAUAGAGUCAAGACAAAAAUUAUUGGCCCCCUUGACAAAUAUUGAGCUAUAUUGUGUGCUACAAAAGAUAGGAAGUCCAUUGUACAUGUUGUUUCACAUGAAGACUUUGCAUGCUAUUUUAAGGGCUCUCAGAGCAACAGAUUGUUGUGGAGACAUUUUGAAAAUUGCCUUAAGUAAGAGUGAGUGAGUAAGAGUGAUUGAGUGGAUGCUUCGUAAGAGCUUAGGAGUAGUAUUAACAUGAGACACAGUGAUGGUGGGUUGUGUUUAGGAGUAGUAUUAACAUGAGACACAGUGAUGAUGGUUUGUGUUUAGGAGUAGUAUUAACAUGAGACACAGUGAUGGUGGGUUGUGUUUAGGAGUAGUAUUAACAUGAGACACAGUGAUGGUGGGUUGUGUUUAGGAGUAGUAUUAACAUGAGACACAGUGAUGGUGGGUUGUGUUUAGGAGUAGUAUUAACAUGAGACACAGUGAUGGAGGGUUGUGUUUAGGAGUAGUAUUAACAUGAGACACAGUGAUGGUGGGUUGUGUUUAGGAGUAGUAUUAACAUGAGACACAGUGAUGAUGGGUUGUGUUUAGGAGUAGUAUUAACAUGAGACACAGUGAUGGUGGGUUGUGUUUAGGAGUAGUAUUAACAUGAGACACAGUGAUGAUGGGUUGUGUUUAGGAGUAGUAUUAACAUGAGACACAGUGAUGGUGGGUUGUGUUUAGGAGUAGUAUUAACAUGAGACACAGUGAUGGUGGGUUGUGUUUAGGAGUAGUAUUAACACAAGACACAGUGUUGUGGGUUUGUAGGUUUAGAUAAACACAAUCAAUUUCCUGUUCUCCAUUUCUGUCUGUCCUCUGACAGGCCUCCUGAAUCAUAUCAGAAAUCUACAUAUGCACAUUAGACUUUAUAGAAUAUAGUCCUCUGUAGCUCAGUUGGUAGAGCAUGGCACCUGCAACGUGAUGGGACGCACAUAUAAAUAACUGUAAGUCGCUUUGGAUAAAGCAUCUGCUAAAUUACAUUAUUUAUGGACAGCAGACUACAACACACUACACAGUCAAUACAGCA
This 1715-nucleotide long non-coding RNA is filed under the name Oncorhynchus mykiss (rainbow trout). RNAcentral's name for it is "lncRNA (ENSOMYG00000073620.1)". The stretch from base 1620 to 1672 matches the Rfam family "UnaL2 LINE 3' element". The record is from RNAcentral. Lineage: Eukaryota; Metazoa; Chordata; Actinopteri; Salmoniformes; Salmonidae.